UACGUAGGUGGCAAGCGUUAUCCGGAUUUAUUGGGCGUAAAGCGAGCGCAGGCGGUUGCUUAGGUCUGAUGUGAAAGCCUUCGGCUUAACCGAAGAAGUGCAUCGGAAACCGGGCAACUUGAGUGCAGAAGAGGACAGUGGAACUCCAUGUGUAGCGGUGGAAUGCGUAGAUAUUAGGAGGAACACCAGUUGCGAAGGCGGCUCUCUGGUCUGCAACUGACGCUGAGGCUCGAAAGUGUGGGUAUCGAACAGG
RNAcentral lists this ribosomal RNA (253 nucleotides) under uncultured bacterium. RNAcentral's name for it is "partial 16S ribosomal RNA". It matches the Rfam family "Bacterial small subunit ribosomal RNA", at positions 524 to 776 of the family's 1533-position model. The record is from RNAcentral.